This is a long non-coding RNA of Ruditapes philippinarum (Manila clam), 2707 nucleotides long. RefSeq lists it as uncharacterized. The record is from RefSeq and is a predicted model, not a curated record. The transcript has 2 exons. Lineage: Eukaryota; Metazoa; Mollusca; Bivalvia; Venerida; Veneridae.
CCUUGCAGAAAUAUAUACUGGUAUUUAAAAAGUCCCAGUAUUUCCCAGUUAUGAUCCUAGAAAAUUCCAGAAUGUUAAAACCAGUCUUGGCUAUUCUAGUGUGGCCUAGGAAAUACCAGUUACUGAGAACUAGGCAUUUCUGAUAAUUUUUAAACAACUCAUCAAUUUCUAAGUUAUACUAGGAAUUGUAAUUUAUUUUCUGAGAUUUCUAAGACUUAAGAUUUUGCAAAAUUCCUAGUCUUUAGGAAUUACUUAGAAUUUAUCUUGUAGAACAAAAUCCUUAACAUCUGUGCUAAAUUCCUUGAAUCUUACAUAAAUUCCUAAAGACUAGGAAUUCUCUUUGUUGAAAGUAAACAAGUAGAUAAAGAAGGAAGAGAAUAAAAUUGAAAAUAAAAAUGUUUUUUUUUUAAAUAAAACAACAUAGGGCCUACUGAUCUAGAUCUAUUUAAUAAUAUUUUUCUAGGAUUACUAUUAUUAUUUAGAUUCUAAUUGAAAUUUAAUAAUAAAUUGACCUUAAUGGUCAACCUGCAUUUCUGACAAUUUUAUCAUUGGCCAUUUAAUUAAUAGAUAAUAGGAGUAUAUAAUCCAAAAAGAAAUAACAAAUAUACAGGCACUCCAAGUAAAUCAAAGACGUAUUAUUAUAAACCUUAAAAAAAUCAAUAAUUGACAUCUGAAGUAUGUAAUUUUUAUCAGUUGUGUAGAGCUAUUUUUAGCGCUGUCAAAUUGCAUCCACUGAUGUCAUGCUUCAGUGCACAGGCUGUGUGUAUAAACCACUUUAUACAUUAUACUGCCUGCUGACAUUUUUAUGGAGUGUGAUUUGAACAUAUGUAGAUCUAAUUAGGGGUGGAUUUAAGAUGAUAAUUAUUGCAUAGUUGAAAAUCCAAAGUGGCAAAUUGACUCUUGUGCAGAUUUUUUCACGUGUCAUAUUUGUGCAUUUCCAAAUUUUCACGAGUCAAAACCCGAAUCCCCGCGUCAAUCGAGAGUCCUGAAUUAAAGUAGGCUGACGGAUAUUAACGAUGAUAACUUAGUCUUUACUUAACCAGCGAACCUUUACGAUUAUACUCGAGCAAUAUCCGUAUAUAUACGCUAACCAAGACGAGCAUAAUUUCAUGACGUAUUGGAUACGUAUACUGAUGACGUAGCAACACAAUUGUUUUGGAAACUACUGUAGCAUUGUAUGAAAUUCAAGCGCUUGUUGGGCUUAAAAUAAUAGAUUUUUGAAAUAAAAUUCAACGAUAUAAUUGAAAUUAUUCAGUCAUUGUAUUGACGGCAAAAACAACAGAAGUACACGAAAUUUUGCGAAUCAAGCACAUGUUACUGACGUAGUACACAUGUUUAUUACGUAGAACACAGGUUUAUUGUGCGCGCAAUAUUCAAAGACGGCAGACACUUCGUCUCUUAUCAACAGUGAACUGAUAUCGUCUCCCCAAUAAAGACAUACAACGAGGAAGGUGAAAUAGCUCAAGCAAAUUAUCAGAAGAAGACCUUCAAAGCUGCAAUCGGUGAAAUUCACUAUAAGAAUUGGUACCACAAGGCCACAAAGGGAGGAGUUCAACUUACUCGUGGAUGAUGUUCAAAGCUGAGGAGAGUGAGAGCUUAAAUCUAUAAAACGGGUCAAAAACUUUUGAUAUAGAAACUGUCAUAAAUUCUUCAGUUAAUUGAAAGAGGGCAAGUUGUACAAAAUGCCAUGGAGCUAAAUAUACAUGGAGAAGAAACUGUGAUGUCACACAGUUAAAUUCAGUAUUGUGUUCAGAAUUGUGGCAGAAUUGUGUUCUUAUAAGUUAUCAUAUGUCGGGGAUUUUCAGAGAUUUGAUGCAUCCUGGGUAAAAAUAGCCAAAACACCGUCAUAUUGAAUUCCCGGAGGAAGAUGAAACAUUUUUUUGCUUAAAUAAGAAGCAAUAGUUAUUUAUUGUAAAAGGUACUAUACACACUUUUCUAUACAAAUAUUUCUCUGAUGAAAAUCUAUGUAGGGGUAUGUAAACAAUAAUUCAUGGAUAUCGUCCAAGUUUAACGAGAGUGCGAAAAUUGGAGACUAUCGGGAAAACCCAAUUAUCACCGAAGCCUGCAAAGGAUUGUGGGUCUGAAUCUGACUAUUAUCUAUUUUUAGAGCUUCCUAUCUGUUGUGUGUAUAUAUCUGUGAAAAUGCAAAGAAGUCGUUGGAUUACCAAAGAUCAACAUUUCAUUUGAUUACCAGAGAUCAUCAAUUCACUGGAUUACUGAGAUUCUCUGUAUGAAAGAUUUGAUGACAAGAAAAUUAUUAAACCGGCAAAAAUUGGAUCUUACAGCAAGGAUUUACUCAUUUCAGAAGACAGCAAUAGAAAAUGUAGGAGUUGCAUGUAAUACUGGAGGUUUCUUGCGUCAUGUUUUGUACUGUUUCAGUGACAUUUCUUAGACUGUUUAAGUGAUGUCCCUCAUUCAAUCAGUUAAGAAAAUGAUGAAAAGCAAAUUAAAAUCUAGGAGUGACCUAGUCAAGUAUUAUAAUGUUUUAACUUUUAGUGCUAAAUUCAAAGAGGUGUCACAUGUUACACUAUUUUAAAAAAGGAAUCUUAAGUCAAGUGUUAUUGCCAAAGCUCAUUGCAUUCCAGUAACUACAAUGAUAUAUCUAAAGAAGUGUGUCUAAACAAUACAAAAACAAUUAAACUGUAAGGAAAAUACUUUGUUUCAUAUGCAAUCAUGCUUUUUAUUAAAUUUAAUAGUUUGCUUAUGA